ACCGUCGGUUACGAUGAGCAAUUGAUGGCUCCGCCACAAUAAAUAUCAAUCCUUGAGCGGUUCAAUAUUUUGCCCUCCCAGCAUGCAAAUCCAACUCUGCCUUUUCCUGCUACGAGCUCCACUGCCACCCAAAUGGUACCCACAUCAUUUCACAGUACUUAUUUACAGCGGUACCUGUCUCAUUUGGCUGCCGCUACACGCCACGGGUAGAGUAGCCAGUAAAAGGGUUAGCAAACGGAUAUAGCCGAGCUGUCAAACUUCGGAGGUGUUCGGUUCAUCUCCGGUGCCGACUUACGAAUACGUCACCGUUUUAGGCUCAGCUCCAGGCCCUGAUCCUUCUUUCUGCUCUGACAAUCAAAGGAAUAAGAAGUGCGCGCGGUGUUCUUAAUUUUCCAAAGUAAUUUUUGUUAAGUGUUAAAAGUGAUGCAGGUUAAUUGAUUUAAUGCUUUUUUAUAGUUACAGUUAGUAAAAGUCCAAACACAAAAGGACUGAUUAAUGGACUAGAGUAAUAGAGUUUAAAAGUGGUACGCAAAGUAAAAUAACGGUGAGAAGACGGUUCACAGACAAAUUAAAAUACCGGAAAAAAAAGGUCCCCAGAGGACCUUUUAUUCUUGGAUCCAGAUUGUCAUCUGGAACCUAUUCCUUCGCAGAACGGGACCAAGAACAGGAACGGAAACUACCGCCAACAUACGGCUCUCUGUCCGUCGCCACGUGCCGAGACCCCCCGGAAACAAUCCCGGCAGCCACCACGCCAUUCUUCUGCCUGCCGGCAACCCUGAAAACCGGCAACCACAAGCCGCAGGUCGAAUCGACUCCCGAGAGCAGAAAAUACCACUGUCCGGGCGAAGGACGCACGCCAUACACGCUCCGACGGCUAACCGUUGGACCAGAGUCCCAGUUAUAACCGACGCACCGCCACUGCCGCCAUACACAGCCAUUGUCACCGUAAACCACCAACAUGUCACCCAGUCGACGAUCCGGCCAUCUUCCGUCUACACCCGUAAAACCAAACCGCAAGUAGCAAGUGACGUCACUUAGAAUUAGGUUAUUUAUAAGUAAUAAAUAGAGUUAAGAUGUUUAAUGAUGAAGAUUAGUGAUAUUGUAACUUAACUGAGCCUUGGUUUAGUGAACUUGCAUCACGUUUCGAUUUUGCUCGAAUUUCGGACUCAAAAGGAGUCGCCAGCCCUCGUCGUUGGUUGUCGUCCAGUAAGUCUUAUCAGGUCGUAGCUUUUGAGCAUCCCCUACGUAAGUACACCCGUUUGCUGGUCCUCGUCUGGUUGCAUUGUCUGUGAUAUUACCGAAGGCAAAUGGGUCACCCUCUAAAUGAGUGCAUAUGAUGGUGGGUGACAUUUAUAUUCACCACCGACAAGCAUAAUUUCUCCUACCCUGAGCAGCUCGAGGUAACAUAUUGGCGCCCAACUUCAAAAACCCCACUUUUCAAAUAAAAUUUGUCUAUCCCACGCGGGGAGGUAAAAAUCAGUACGCUGAUUUAGAUUUCGCUUCAUCCUCCAAACGAAGCAGAUUUUGGUGUAGUAGAACUGUUCAACUUUCAUUUACAAAAUGGAUGUAGAAUUCGACAUGCAAUAUAAAAGUCUUUUAGUCCACCACUUAGUCAGGGAAGAAAUCGAACAUGAACUAGCAAUUCGGGGAAUCGAGUUUACUGAAACGGAAACACGCGCUGCUCUCGCCAGACGUUUAAGAGAGCAAAUCAAAGUAGAAAAAGAACAGGGUCAUGCGGAUUUAGAUUUCAAUAGAUUAGAUACCAGUGUCGA
Topomyia yanbarensis is the source of this 1772-nucleotide long non-coding RNA. RefSeq lists it as uncharacterized. NCBI's taxonomy places the organism in Eukaryota, Metazoa, Arthropoda, Insecta, Diptera, Culicidae. The transcript has 3 exons. The record is from RefSeq and is a predicted model, not a curated record.